Long non-coding RNA from Nerophis ophidion (straightnose pipefish), 888 nucleotides. RefSeq lists it as uncharacterized. The transcript is spliced from 2 exons. The record is from RefSeq and is a predicted model, not a curated record. Lineage: Eukaryota; Metazoa; Chordata; Actinopteri; Syngnathiformes; Syngnathidae.
UACAUAUACAUCUGUAAACAAGCUUAUUGGUGUGUUUAGUGGGACAGGCAAAAAGUUAAGGUGGAGAAAAUGCGGUAGUUUAUAAAUUAAUUAUUGUUUCUGUGGUGCCCGGUAGCCAAUGUGUCACGGACCCAUACCGGCCCCCGGACCAGUGGUUGAGGACCACUGGCUUAGACAAUUGCAAUGCCGUGUUCUCUGGUAGUCUACACUUAUCACAAAACUCAUCUGCACGUGUGCCGACAAGGACUAGUUUUAAAGUGUUGGCUCAGUGUCUGCUUCAGGGUCAACUUUAUUGUUCUAUUAUUAGUUUUUAAAAUGUCUUAAUGGCCUCGUGUCUUCUUAUCUAUCUGACCUGCUUUUACCGUUAUCAACCCUCACGGAUCCUGAGAACAAAGACCCACGGUGAGGCGGCAUUUAGCCACUGUGGCCCCCCAGCUGUGGAACAGCUUGCUCGAGAGUCUCAGGACCGCAGAGAGCGUUGACAUUUGAUUUAAAAAAGGCUAAAGACACACACUUUUAAUCAGGUUUUUGACUUUUUUCAAACUGUUAUGUUUUAUUGUGUUGUUUUCCAUCUUGAUUAUUAAUAUUAUUACUGUUAUUCUGUCAAUGUUAUGUUUCUAUCAACUUGUUAAUGUAGUAUUUAUAUCUUAUUUUAACACAUAUUUUAUCAUAUGUUGGAUACUAUUUUAUAGAUGGCGUUAAUUGUAGUAAUUUUCCUUUGUGGAUGUCUUCAAAGUGGUCUUUUUUCUCAAAUCCCCACUGCCAAGCCAUGUUUUGUUUUAUUGUUCUUCUAUUUUUUUGUACAGCACUUUGUGUUUGCCACUGGCCUGUAAAUAAAGUGCAAUAAAAGUGCAAUAUAAAUAAAGUUAAAUUUAAUUUGAUUUGAUA